UACAGAGGGUGCUAGCGUUGUUCGGAAUCAUUGGGCGUAAAGGGCGUGUAGGCGGUUUGUUAAGUCAUGUGUGGAAUCCCUCGGCUCAACCGGGGAACGACGCAUGAAACUGGCAAGCUAGAGUACCAAAGAGGGGGGUGGAAUUCCCGGUGUAGUGGUGAAAUGCGUAGAGAUCGGGAGGAACACCUGUGGCGAAGGCGGCCACCUGGGCCGACCCUGACGCUGAGGCGCGAAAGCGUGGGGAGCGAACAGG
RNAcentral lists this ribosomal RNA (253 nucleotides) under uncultured bacterium. RNAcentral describes it as "partial 16S ribosomal RNA". It matches the Rfam family "Bacterial small subunit ribosomal RNA", at positions 524 to 776 of the family's 1533-position model. The record is from RNAcentral.